CCUACGGGUGGCAGCAGUGAGGAAUAUUGGUCAAUGGGCGAGAGCCUGAACCAGCCAAGUCGCGUGAGGGAGUACUGCCCUAUGGGUUGUAAACCUCUUUUGUCGGGGAGCAAAAGCCGGACGUGUCCGGCUGUGAGAGGACCCGAAGAAAAAGCAGCGGCGAACUCCGUGCCAGCAGCCGCGGUAAGACGGAGGGUGCGAGCGUUAAUCGGAAUUACUGGGCGUACCGCGCUCGUAGGCGGUAUGUCAAGGCAAGGGGGAAAUCCCCGCGCUCAACGUGGGAACUGCCUUUGAAACUGGCAAACUGGAGUGUGUGAGAGGCUAGUGGAAUUCCAGGUUUAGGCGUGAAAUCCGUAGAUAUCUGGAGGAACCUCAGUGGCGAAGGCGACUCUCUGGCACAUAACUGACGCUGAGGAGCGAAAGCGUGGGUAGCAAACAGGAUUAGAUACCCGUGUAGUC
Molecule: ribosomal RNA, 459 nt
Filed under: uncultured bacterium
Lineage: Bacteria
Description: partial 16S ribosomal RNA
Rfam family: Bacterial small subunit ribosomal RNA
Source: RNAcentral